AUAUUAUAAUAUCAUGAAAUCAUACAUGCUUUAUAACAUAACACAUAUCAUACCUUUGCAUUUCAAUCAUCAGACAACAGAUUUUCCUCUUUUAUCAGCCUACUAGUAUCCAUGGGGAUCCAUAGGGGUCCCCGCUACACAUGAACCAUUCAUAUUGAUAACUUGAUUCAGGGCCAUCCCCAUACCCCGUCCGGUAUGGGCGCCAAAAA
This 209-nucleotide long non-coding RNA is filed under the name Carica papaya (papaya). Its description in RNAcentral is "long non-coding RNA (CPAP_LNC004686)". The record is from RNAcentral. Lineage: Eukaryota; Viridiplantae; Streptophyta; Magnoliopsida; Brassicales; Caricaceae.